GACGAACGCUGGCGGCGUGCUUAACACAUGCAAGUCGAACGGAAAGGCCUGCUUUCCCUUGUGGAUUGCGGGUGCUCGAGUGGCGAACGGGUGAGUAACACGUGAGUGAUCUGCCCCCAACUUGGGUAUAAGCCUGGGAAACUGGGUCUAAUUCCCGAUAGGACUGCAGGGUGGUGCCUGUGGUGGAAAACGAUUUUCUAGUGGUUGGGGAUGAGCUCGCGGCCUAUCAGCUUGUUGGUGGGGUAAUGGCCUACCAAGGCGGCGACGGGUAGCCGGCCUGAGAGGGUGGACGGCAACAUUGGGACUGAGAUACGGCCCAGACUCCUACGGGAGGCAGCAGUGGGGAAUAUGGCACAAGGGGCGGAAGCCUGAUGCAGCGACGCCGCGUGGGGGAUGACGGGCUUCGGGUUGUAAACUCCUUUCGACAGCGAGGAAGCCACCUGGUUGGAAGGGUGGUGACGGUAGUGGUAGAAGAAGCACCGGCUAACUACGUG
Molecule: ribosomal RNA, 494 nt
Filed under: uncultured bacterium
Lineage: Bacteria
Description: partial 16S ribosomal RNA
Rfam family: Bacterial small subunit ribosomal RNA
Source: RNAcentral